RNAcentral lists this ribosomal RNA (358 nucleotides) under uncultured Oscillospiraceae bacterium. Its description in RNAcentral is "bacterial SSU rRNA". It matches the Rfam family "Bacterial small subunit ribosomal RNA", at positions 1 to 339 of the family's 1533-position model. Lineage: Bacteria; Bacillati; Bacillota; Clostridia; Eubacteriales; Oscillospiraceae. The record is from RNAcentral.
AGUAGUUUGAUCAGUGCAGAGACGACGCUGGCGGCGCGCCUAACACAUGCAAGUCGAACGAGACACGAUCUUGAUUCUUUCGGGGAAGAUGGAUCAAUGUUUAGUGGCGGACGGGUGAGUAAUGCGUGAACAAUCUGCCUUAUAGAAGGGGAUAACAACUAGAAAUGGUCGCUAAUACCUAAUAAUGCAUAGAUUUCGCAUGAUAUAUAUGCCAAAGGGAAUUCGCAAGAAUUUUGCUAUAAGAUGAGUUCACGUCUGAUUAGAUUGUUGGUGGGGUAACGGCUCACCAAGUCUACGAUCAGUAGCCGAACUGAGAGGUUGAACGGCCACAUUGGGACUGAGACACGGCCCAGACUCC